RNAcentral lists this ribosomal RNA (397 nucleotides) under uncultured bacterium. RNAcentral's name for it is "partial 16S ribosomal RNA". It matches the Rfam family "Bacterial small subunit ribosomal RNA", at positions 523 to 918 of the family's 1533-position model. The record is from RNAcentral.
AUACGUAGGUGACAAGCGUUAUCCGGAUUUACUGGGCGUAAAGGGCGUGUAGGCGGUCUUGCAAGUCAGAAGUGAAAUUCCUGAGCUCAACUCGGGCGCUGCUUCUGAAACUGCAGGACUUGAGUGCUGGAGGGGAUAGCGGAAUUCCUAGUGGAGCGGUAAAAUGCGCAGAUAUUAGGAAGAACACCGGUGGCGAAGGCGGCUAUCUGGAAAGUAACUGACGCUGAGGCGCGAAAGCGUGGGGAGCAAAAAGGAUUAUAUGCCCUGGUAGUCCCCGCCGUAAACGAUGAAUACUAGGUGUAGGGGGUAUCGACUCCCUCUGUGCCGCAGUUAACACAAUAAGUAUUCCACCUGGGGAGUACGAUCGCUAGAUUGAAACUCAAAGGAAUUGACGGGG